UAUAGCCUUUUGUAUCAUCCACGAAAACAAAAACAAAAACAAAAAAGAGUCUUUUUUUUUAUUACACAGAUUCAAAUUUGUAAAAUCUCAGAUUAUAUACGCCAAAAUCUCAAUCUUUAUAAAGUUUAUAGCUUUUUCAAAAUUAGAUUGUAAGGAACAAGAAUUGGUUCAAAGUUAGAACAUUUUUGAGUCACAGAAGAACAAUUCAAAAUGUGAAACCCACCAACACGCAUUAACAACCCCAGAUGGAGAAAGAUUCGAUUUUUUACAAUAAAAAUGUACACUUUUGAAAUAUAUAUGGAAAAAAACAGAGGAGAUUCUUGAGAUUUUGUGUACAAUUUUUAUAAAUUGAUAAUGGGAGAGAGAUUGUUCUUACAAGACUUGUGUAGGGGGAUGAGGGAAGGAUUCUUGUGCACCACCACCUCUGUCUUGUCUCCUCUCUCUCUCUCCGAUUGCCCGUGAGAGUUUUGCAGACAAAUUUGAAAUGAAUGUCUUUAUGUCCAGACCAAACUUGUCUCCCUCUCGAGAGAGAGAAAAAAAGGAAGAUUUUUUUUUUGGGAGGUGACUAUUUUGAGUUAUGUUUGAUUUGUUAAGCUGAUUUGGUUAUUUAUUGGGAUUUUGAAAAUUUUAAUUAUAUUCUUUCUGAAAAAACAAUUUGGAAUUUAUUGGCGCUUUGCAUGACUUUAAAUUUUCUUCUAUCUACUAAAUAUUGAAAAUGUACUACUCCUACUAGACAUUGUUUCCUUGUUCAGUAAAUUAUUUCCCCUUU
Molecule: long non-coding RNA, 769 nt
Filed under: Brassica rapa (field mustard)
Lineage: Eukaryota; Viridiplantae; Streptophyta; Magnoliopsida; Brassicales; Brassicaceae
Description: long non-coding RNA (BRAP_LNC002004)
Source: RNAcentral